This 519-nucleotide ribosomal RNA is filed under the name uncultured bacterium. Its description in RNAcentral is "partial 16S ribosomal RNA". It matches the Rfam family "Bacterial small subunit ribosomal RNA", at positions 28 to 508 of the family's 1533-position model. The record is from RNAcentral.
GACGAACGCUGGCGGCGUGCCUAAUACAUGCAAGUCGAGCGAGUCUGCCUUGAAGAUCGGAGUGCUUGCACUCUGUGAAACAAGAUACAGGCUAGCGGCGGACGGGUGAGUAACACGUGGGUAACCUGCCCAAGAGAUCGGGAUAACACCUGGAAACAGAUGCUAAUACCGGAUAACAACAGAUGAUGCCUAUCAACUGUUUAAAAGAUGGUUCUGCUAUCACUCUUGGAUGGACCUGCGGUGCAUUAGCUAGUUGGUAGGGUAACGGCCUACCAAGGCGAGUAUGCAGAACCGAGGUAGGGGACGGACAGGCCCAAUUGGGGCAGGAACACGGCCCAACCUCCUGGGGGAGGAAGCAGAAGGGAAUCUUCAAAAUGGGGCGCGAGUCGGAUGGAGCAACGCCGGGUGAGAGAAGAAGGGUUUCGGCUCGUAAAGCUGUGUGGUGGGGGAAAAAGGACGGGGGUAGUAACUCACUUUUGUUGGACGGUAAUAAAUAAAAAAGUCAGGGCAAACUACGGC